AAACAGUUCUGAUUGCACUUGAGGAAAAACUUUAGAAAGAAUCUGUCAAUGAUAACGGGGUCGGAGGGGGUCUCGUUUCUGUUGCCACAACUUUUCUUGUCACAGCAUCGGCUGCACAUAAUCUCGUGCGUGAGCAGCACCCGGCACAUCUCGGGGUUCUUGUCCUGCCCCUCGUACACGAUCGCCUGUUUGGUCAUGGAGUCUAUGAGGCGCACGUAGAGGUCCUGCUCCGUCCUCACUCCAUUGCUAUACAAUAACUGAAGUUUAUAAUGAAUCCCAUUGUUAGUUUUUUCAUUGUUUGGCUCUUUCUCUUUCUCCACAAAGUCCACAAAAGCCGUUCUCUCAAUCUCCACCGGCUGCCCCUGCCUGUCGUACAGAGCUAAGACGAAGUGGAAAAAAUUGGAUUUUCUCAGGUUGGAAGGCGGCUGUUUCUCGAAAUGCGCCCGAGCCAGCCCUACGCCGCUUUGCGCGGCCGUGUUGGCAUCCACCACUCCGGCCGUGUGCAUCCACGAGCGGACCGGGUUCAUGCCGCUGCCCAGCGGCUCCUCCUUCAUGGUCGUUCCGCCUCGUGGUAUAUUUUCCUGAAUCCCAAACAUUAAAACGAGCGGGGGCGGCGGCAGCUCCUAAGCAAAAGGGGGGGACGCGGAGGGGAGCGCGGUGCGGUGCGGGCUCGGUCGGUGCCCCUCUCCGGAGGAGCGCUCUGCGCCGGAGCUCUGCGGGAGGAGAGUCCGCUCCGAGCCUCGCUGCCUUCCUCAGCGCGUCCUGCGCGGGCACCACAUCAACAAUUUGCGGAGUUCUUCUGCGCGGCCGCGCGGGUGGCGUUCCAGCUUGGAGGUUC
RNAcentral lists this long non-coding RNA (838 nucleotides) under Gallus gallus (chicken). Lineage: Eukaryota; Metazoa; Chordata; Aves; Galliformes; Phasianidae. The record is from RNAcentral.